This is a long non-coding RNA of Acromyrmex echinatior (Panamanian leafcutter ant), 692 nucleotides long. Lineage: Eukaryota; Metazoa; Arthropoda; Insecta; Hymenoptera; Formicidae. The record is from RefSeq and is a predicted model, not a curated record.
GUAAAGGAUGACGGACGUCCAGGCGAACCCGGGUGGCAGACUACAGCAGAGCGAAGUGGCCGCGGCGCAGCAAACAGGUAAGGGCAACAGGGUUACAGUCGACUUCUUCCCUUCAGGGCGUACGUCAUCGCGCGAAUAAAACACCGAAGCAAAGUCUCGAAUCGUCUCUUUUCUUUGAGAAGACAGAUAUUACAUUUUUCUCUUUCUCUCUCUCUUUCUACGGAGAGGAAGCGUACCGAUCGAUCUCGAACGGCACGUUCUGCAGACGAGAUGCGGCGACUCCAAGACGCGACUGCACUCGAGACGAUCGGAGAAAAGUUAGGCCCCCGCCAACGAAUAGCGAUCUGUCUUGUGAUAAUUCUGAGACGAGGUAAUACGACGAGGCGCAAUGAAAGAUCGACUCAGGAUUCUCGGGAAAGCUAUACCGACAACGUCUCACGGAUGUCAAAAGACUCCAAGCGCCGGCCAUCGUUGAGGGUUUUCCGCGUCAAUAUAAUUAGCUUUUAAUUCUAAUUGCUAAUUCGCACUAAAAUACUUGCAAUCAUGUUAAACUAUUUACCUGUUAAUAACUGUUUUAGAAAAUUGCGACAGGAAAAUUAUUUAACAAUAGAUCCAAUGAAAUUUUAUCACUGUAUAAAACUUGUCAUGCUAAAUAUUUUGGGAUUCUUACAUAGAAAAAAAUGGUUGGCCGA